AUCCCAUCUCAGCCUUUUGGCUAAGAUCAAGUAUAGUAUUUCUUAUCAGUUUAAUACACAAUGUUCAUUUUCUCCACUGGUAUUAUACAUUCAUACAACCUAU
Pongo abelii (Sumatran orangutan) is the source of this 103-nucleotide small nuclear RNA. Its record names the gene U2. It matches the Rfam family "U2 spliceosomal RNA". From Rfam's summary of the family: U2 is a small nuclear RNA (snRNA) component of the spliceosome (involved in pre-mRNA splicing). Complementary binding between U2 snRNA (in an area lying towards the 5' end but 3' to hairpin I) and the branchpoint sequence (BPS) of the intron results the bulging out of an unpaired adenosine, on the BPS, which initiates a nucleophilic attack at the intronic 5' splice site, thus starting the first of two transesterification reactions that mediate splicing. The record is from Ensembl. Lineage: Eukaryota; Metazoa; Chordata; Mammalia; Primates; Hominidae.